CCUACGGGAGGCAGCAGUGAGGAAUAUUGGUCAAUGGUCGGGAGACUGAACCAGCCAAGCCGCGUGAGGGAUGAAGGUACAGAGUAUCGUAAACCUCUUUUGUCAGGGAACAAAGGCGGGGACGUGUCCCCGGAUGAGUGUACCUGAAGAAACAGCAUCGGCAAACUCCGGGCCAGCAGCCGCGGUAAUACGGAGGAUGCGAGCGUUAUCCGGAUUUAUUGGGUUUAAGGGGUGCGCAGGCGGUCUGUUAAGUCAGCGGUCAAAGCCCGGGGCUCAACCCCGGCCCGCCGUUGAAACUGGCAGUCUGGAGUUGGAGAGAAGUAUGCGGAAUGCGCGGUGUAGCGGUGAAAUGCAUAGAGAUCGCGCAGAACUCCGAUUGCGAAGGCAGCAUGCCGGCUCCACACUGACGCUGAGGCACGAAAGCGUGGGGAUCGAACAGGAUUAGAUACCCCAGUAGUC
This 459-nucleotide ribosomal RNA is filed under the name uncultured bacterium. RNAcentral's name for it is "partial 16S ribosomal RNA". It matches the Rfam family "Bacterial small subunit ribosomal RNA", at positions 338 to 795 of the family's 1533-position model. The record is from RNAcentral.